ACAGCAGUUACUACUGUUACUGCUAGAGAACGUCAUUAUGACUGAACAAAGGGACAAACACAGAAAUGAUAACAAAGAGGCAAAAGAAACAGUUUAAAGGAAAGGCUAGCAUGGACAAGAAGAGCACUCCCUGCUUCUAGUGAGCAAAGGCAGCCCCCCUUGAGCUUCUAUAGCCCUUCUUAUUUAUUGGGUAACAAGAGCAAGGAGGAGGAGAGUUCUGCAAGGAGAUUGGAAGAAAAUGUGAGGACUGAGCCCAUAAGAAUAUUUUUCUUUCUGUUUUUAUCAGGGGGCAUUUUGACUAUCAGCAUUUUUAUUUACUUGCUCUGGCUUUGGCAUGAUUUGCUAUUGGAGAGAUAUAACAGUAUUGUUUUUCUUCUGAUGGAGACAAAAUAUUCAUUUAUA
RNAcentral lists this long non-coding RNA (402 nucleotides) under Homo sapiens (human). RNAcentral describes it as "HSALNT0202524". The record is from RNAcentral. Lineage: Eukaryota; Metazoa; Chordata; Mammalia; Primates; Hominidae.